AACAGCUCAAAUUUGAAAUCUGGCUUCGGCCCGAGUUGUAAUUUGUAGAGGAUGCUUUUGGUGAGGUGCCUUCUGAGUUCCCUGGAACGGGACGCCAGAGAGGGUGAGAGCCCCGUAUAGUUGGACACCGAGCCUCUGUAAAGCUCCUUCGACGAGUCGAGUAGUUUGGGAAUGCUGCUCAAAAUGGGAGGUAUAUCUCUUCUAAAGCUAAAUACUGGCCAGAGACCGAUAGCGCACAAGUAGAGUGAUCGAAAGAUGAAAAGCACUUUGAAAAGAGGGUUAAAUAGUACGUGAAAUUGUUGAAAGGGAAGCGCUUGUGACCAGACUUGUGCCCGGCUGAUCAUCCAGUGUUCUCACUGGUGCACUCUGCCGGGCUCAGGCCAGCGUCGGUUCUCGCAGGGGGACAAAAGCUUCGGGAACGUAGCUCCUCCGGGAGUGUUAUAGCCCGUUGCUCAAUACCCCUGCGGGGACCGAGGUUCGCGCUCUGCAAGGACGCUGGCAUAAUGGUCAUCAGCGGCCCGUCUUGAAACACGGACCAAGGAGUCGAGGUUUUGCGCGAGUGUUUGGGUGUAAAACCCGCACGCGUAAUGAAAGUGAACGUAGGUGAGAGCUUCGGCGCAUCAUCGACCGAUCCUGAUGUAUUCGGAUGGAUUUGAGUAAGAGCGUAUAGCCUCGGACCCGAAAGAUGGUGAACUAUGCCUGAAUAGGGUGAAGCCAGAGGAAACUCUGGUGGAGGCUCGCAGCGGUUCUGACGUGCAAAUCGAUCGUCAAAUUUGGGCAUGGGGGCGAAAGACUAAUCGAACCAUCUAGUAGCUGGUUACCGCCGAAGUUUCCCUCAGGAUAGCAGUGUUGUUCUUCAGUUUUAUGAGGUAAAGCGAAUGAUUAGGGACUCGGGGGCGCUAUUUAGCCUUCAUCCAUUCUCAAACUUUAAAUAUGUAAGAAGCCCUUGUUACUUAAUUGAACGUGGGCAUUCGAAUGUACCAACACUAGUGGGCCAUUUUUGGUAAGCAGAACUGGCGAUGCGGGAUGAACCGAACGCGGGGUUAAGGUGCCAGAGUGGACGCUCAUCAGACACCACAAAAGGCGUUAGUACAUCUUGACAGCAGGACGGUGGCCAUGGAAGUCGGAAUCCGCUAAGGACUGUGUAACAACUCACCUGCCGAAUGUACUAGCCCUGAAAAUGGAUGGCGCUCAAGCGUCCCACCCAUACCCCGCCCUUA
Molecule: ribosomal RNA, 1220 nt
Filed under: fungal sp.
Lineage: Eukaryota; Fungi
Description: eukaryotic LSU rRNA
Rfam family: Eukaryotic large subunit ribosomal RNA
Source: RNAcentral